Molecule: long non-coding RNA, 227 nt
Organism: Hibiscus syriacus
Lineage: Eukaryota; Viridiplantae; Streptophyta; Magnoliopsida; Malvales; Malvaceae
Exons: 3
Source: RefSeq, a predicted model, not a curated record
UGAACAUUGUGGAUUCUUAACUUUCCAAAUCUCUUUAAAGCAUGUAAAUUUUAAUUCUUUUUUCGCCCUUUAUUUUUGAAAAAUAAAAUCAGUUUUUUAGUGUUUUGUGUGUUGUUUUAAGCUUGGGCCAAGGGAUACGCCGAUUCAAUGCUUUAUUAGAAGGGAUAGCUCAAGUUCAACAUUUCGAUUGUAUAUGGGUCUCAGUUACCAGCACUGACAGGUCAGUU